This 141-nucleotide RNase P RNA is filed under the name Pseudomonadota bacterium. Its description in RNAcentral is "partial RNase P RNA component class A". It matches the Rfam family "Bacterial RNase P class A", at positions 1 to 136 of the family's 367-position model. Rfam says of the family: Ribonuclease P (RNase P) is a ubiquitous endoribonuclease, found in archaea, bacteria and eukarya as well as chloroplasts and mitochondria. Its best characterised activity is the generation of mature 5'-ends of tRNAs by cleaving the 5'-leader elements of precursor-tRNAs. Cellular RNase Ps are ribonucleoproteins. The record is from RNAcentral. Lineage: Bacteria; Pseudomonadati; Pseudomonadota.
GGAGUCGGCCAGACAGUCGCGUCAUCAAUCAACUUGUUGGUGGAUGCCGAGGAAAGUCCGGGCUCCACAGGGCACGGUGCCAGGUAACGCCUGGGCGGCGCGAGCCGACGGAAAGUGCAACAGAAAGAUACCGCCCAAGAC